GGUACACGAGCGGCGAACGGGUGAGUAACACGUGAGUAAUCUGCCCUUCACUUCGGGAUAACCACCGGAAACGGUGGCUAAUACCGGAUACGACCAGUCCUUGCAUGAGGUGCUGGUGGAAAGUCUUUUCGGUGGAGGAUGUGCUCGCGGCCUAUCAGCUUGUUGGUGGGGUAAUGGCCUACCAAGGCUUCGACGGGUAGCCGGCCUGAGAGGGUGACCGGCCACACUGGGACUGAGACACGGCCCAGACUCCUACGGGAGGCAGCAGUGGGGAAUAUUGGACAAUGGGCGAAAGCCUGAUCCAGCAACGCCGCGUGAGGGAUGACGGCCUUCGGGUUGUAAACCUCUUUCAGUAUCGACGAAGCGCCCUGUCGGGUGGUGACGGUAGAUACAGAAGAAGGACCGGCCAACUACGUGCCAGCAGCCGCGGUAAUACGUAGGGUCCGAGCGUUGUCCGGAAUUAUUGGGCGUAAAGGGCUCGUAGGCGGUUUGUCACGUCGGGAGUGAAAUCUUACAGCUUAACUGUGAACUUGCUUUCGAUACGGGCAGACUUGAGGCAUUCAGGGGAGAACGGAAUUCCUGGUGUAGCGGUGAAAUGCGCAGAUAUCAGGAGGACACCGGUGGCGAAGGCGGUUCUCUGGGAAUGUUCUGACGCU
RNAcentral lists this ribosomal RNA (656 nucleotides) under uncultured Actinomycetes bacterium. RNAcentral describes it as "bacterial SSU rRNA". It matches the Rfam family "Bacterial small subunit ribosomal RNA", at positions 86 to 747 of the family's 1533-position model. The record is from RNAcentral. Lineage: Bacteria; Bacillati; Actinomycetota; Actinomycetes.